Molecule: ribosomal RNA, 564 nt
Filed under: Meyerozyma guilliermondii
Lineage: Eukaryota; Fungi; Ascomycota; Pichiomycetes; Serinales; Debaryomycetaceae
Description: eukaryotic LSU rRNA
Rfam family: Eukaryotic large subunit ribosomal RNA
Source: RNAcentral
AUGCUUAGUAGCGGCGAGUGAGCGGCAAAAGCUCAAAUUUGAAAUCUGGCACCUUCGGUGUCCGAGUUGUAAUUUGAAGAUUGUAACCUUGGGGUUGGCUCUUGUCUAUGUUUCUUGGAACAGGACGUCACAGAGGGUGAGAAUCCCGUGCGAUGAGAUGCCCAAUCCUAUGUAAGGUGCUUUCGAAGAGUCGAGUUGUUUGGGAAUGCAGCUCUAAGUGGGUGGUAAAUUCCAUCUAAAGCUAAAUAUUGGCGAGAGACCGAUAGCGAACAAGUACAGUGAUGGAAAGAUGAAAAGAACUUUGAAAAGAGAGUGAAAAAGUACGUGAAAUUGUUGAAAGGGAAGGGUUUGAGAUCAGACUCGAUAUUUUGUGAGCCUUGCCUUCGUGGCGGGGUGACCCGCAGCUUAUCGGGCCAGCAUCGGUUUGGGCGGUAGGAUAAUGGCGUAGGAAUGUGACUUUGCUUCGGUGAAGUGUUAUAGCCUGCGUUGAUGCUGCCUGCCUAGACCGAGGACUGCGAUUUUAUCAAGGAUGCUGGCAUAAUGAUCCCAAACCGCCCGUCUUAA